This 362-nucleotide ribosomal RNA is filed under the name uncultured Sphingomonadaceae bacterium. Its description in RNAcentral is "bacterial SSU rRNA". It matches the Rfam family "Bacterial small subunit ribosomal RNA", at positions 355 to 733 of the family's 1533-position model. Lineage: Bacteria; Pseudomonadati; Pseudomonadota; Alphaproteobacteria; Sphingomonadales; Sphingomonadaceae. The record is from RNAcentral.
UGGGGAAGUAUUGGACAAUGGGCGAAAGCCUGAUCCAGCAAUGCCGCGUGAGUGAUGAAGGCCUUAGGGUUGUAAAGCUCUUUUACCCGGAUGAUAAUGACAGUACCGGGAGAAUAAGCCCGCAGCUACCGUGCCAGCAGCCGCGGUAAUACGGAGGGGCGGUAGCGUUGUUCGGAAUUACUGGGCGUAAAGCGCGCGUAGGCGGCUUUGUAAGUUAGAGGUGAAAGCCCGGAGCUCAACUCCGGAAUUGCCUUUAAGACUGCAUCGCUAGAAUCAUGGAGAGGUGAGUGGAAUUCCGAGUGUAGAGGUGAAAUUCGUAAGAUAUUCGGAAGAACACCAGUGGCGAAGGCGACUUCACUGGA